GUCUAUGGCCAGGCCAUCCUGAACACACCCAAUCUCAUCUGAUCUUGGAAGCUAAGCAGGGUCAAGUCUGGUUAGUACUUGGAUGAGAUGUCUUCAAUAUUAAAGGCA
RNAcentral lists this ribosomal RNA (108 nucleotides) under Canis lupus familiaris (dog). RNAcentral also lists the same sequence under 1 other name. The record is from RNAcentral. Lineage: Eukaryota; Metazoa; Chordata; Mammalia; Carnivora; Canidae.